RNAcentral lists this ribosomal RNA (747 nucleotides) under Bacillus pumilus. RNAcentral's name for it is "bacterial SSU rRNA". It matches the Rfam family "Bacterial small subunit ribosomal RNA", at positions 55 to 785 of the family's 1533-position model. The record is from RNAcentral. Lineage: Bacteria; Bacillati; Bacillota; Bacilli; Caryophanales; Bacillaceae.
AUGCAGUCGAGCGGACAGAAGGGAGCUUGCUCCCGGAUGUUAGCGGCGGACGGGUGAGUAACACGUGGGUAACCUGCCUGUAAGACUGGGAUAACUCCGGGAAACCGGAGCUAAUACCGGAUAGUUCCUUGAACCGCAUGGUUCAAGGAUGAAAGACGGUUUCGGCUGUCACUUACAGAUGGACCCGCGGCGCAUUAGCUAGUUGGUGGGGUAAUGGCUCACCAAGGCGACGAUGCGUAGCCGACCUGAGAGGGUGAUCGGCCACACUGGGACUGAGACACGGCCCAGACUCCUACGGGAGGCAGCAGUAGGGAAUCUUCCGCAAUGGACGAAAGUCUGACGGAGCAACGCCGCGUGAGUGAUGAAGGUUUUCGGAUCGUAAAGCUCUGUUGUUAGGGAAGAACAAGUGCGAGAGUAACUGCUCGCACCUUGACGGUACCUAACCAGAAAGCCACGGCUAACUACGUGCCAGCAGCCGCGGUAAUACGUAGGUGGCAAGCGUUGUCCGGAAUUAUUGGGCGUAAAGGGCUCGCAGGCGGUUUCUUAAGUCUGAUGUGAAAGCCCCCGGCUCAACCGGGGAGGGUCAUUGGAAACUGGGAAACUUGAGUGAAGAAGAGGAGAGUGGAAUUCCCACGUGUAGCGGUGAAAUGCGUAGAGAUGUGGAGGAACACCAGUGGCGAAGGCGACUCUCUGGUCUGUAACUGACGCUGAGGAGCGAAAGCGUGGGGAGCGAACAGGAUUAGAUAC